GUUCAUCUUGUUCUUUCCGGCAACACGGUCAGAUGUAAUCAGAAGUUUUUGUGAAGAAAUACGCUCAAGGACAGCUUUUAUAUAACAAUCCGAGCUCGGUUUGAAAUACCCGAGGGGAGGAUUUUGUUCCUAAACUUUCACUUGGGAGAAGAAGACUUCUGGUAAGGCUUUAAGGACAUCUUCUGUUUCCACUUGUAGAAAGUCAUACAGUUGUGAACUAAUGAUAAUAUGCACUACCACAAAAAAUUACCUGUCACUCUUGAAGGUUUAAAAAAAAUAAAAUAAAAUCUAAUUCAGUAGUAAUUCAGUAGUAAACAAUCAACAGCAUGACAUUUGUAACGAGAUGCUAUCUAUAAAGGGAUGCAUUAGCUGCACUCAUAAAAUAUUGAUUAUCACACGUUGGGUUUUUUUAUUUUUUAUUUUUUUAGCCAUGGUAAUGGCUUUGGGUUCGUUCCCAUUAAACCCUUCAGCGUCCACAUUUCGCCUCUGUGCAAAGAUGCUUUUAUCAUGUUCAGAUUGGAAUUCAUGGUACAUUUGCUUCGAGCUGCUUACAGUUUUCCUCUCAGCAGCAUGCAAUCUUGUAGAAGAGGAUGAGUGGUUUUAAUAUAUUUAGAAAAAUAUAUCAAAUAUAAGGCUAUGAUAACAUAAUGACUCAUCCAUUACCUUAAAAGGAAACUUGAAUACCCUCGGAUAAAUGCAGCGCAUGCUGUACGUAUAGUUUAAUGGCACGUAUUACUUAUUUUUUGCAUCGUCUAUGUAUAUUCUUUACCAUUUAUCUUAUUGGAAGUAAUGCUACAGCAGGCACAGCUCAUUGUACAGCUUUUACAUGCCGAUAGUCAAGUUUAGUUGGUAAUGCUAUGUUACUGAUAUAUUGAAGCUGUCUGGAACCCAGCUUACGGAACAUUCAGUAACCUGCAGUACUGUGAAAAAGUCUUUGGCUUUUUGUGUAUAUUUCAUACUAACUUAUUUCAGAAAUUAAAACAAAAUCUAAGAUAAAACAAAGGCAACCUGAGUAAUCGCAAAAUACAGUUUUUAAAUGAUAAUGUUAUUUAUUGAGGUAAAAAAGUUAUCCAAUUCCAACUGGGCCUGUGUGAAAAAAUAUUCGCCCCAUAGUUACUAAUUCUCCAAAUCUAUGAAACUGCAUUUAUAAUGAGAUUCAGCUGGACUAGACGCAACCAGACCUGAUUACUGCAAACCCUGUUCAAUCAAAUCAACACUUAAAUAGAACUUUUUCAACAGCAUGAAUUUGGUUAAAAGGUCUCACCCAGUAACACACUACGCCAAAGUUGAAAGAAAUUCCAGAAAUGAUGAGGAAGAAGGUGGUUGAAAUGCAUCAGUCUGGGAAGGGUUACAAAGCUUUUUCAAAGGCUCUGAGACUCCAAAGAACCACAGUGAGAGCUGUUAUCUCCAAAUGGAAAAAACCUAGCACAGUAGUGAACCUUCCCAGAAGUGGCGGACCUUCCAAAAUUCCUCCAAGAGCACAGUGACGACUCAUCCAGGAAGUCACAGAAGAGCCAAGGACAACAUCAAAGGAACUACAGGCCUCUCCUGCAUCAAUAAAAAUCACUGCUCAUGAGAAAAAUGGCAUCCAUGGAAGAGUAGCAAGGUGAAAACCACCUCUAACCCAGAAGAACAUUAAGGCUCAUCUGAAUUUUGCCAAUACACACCUUGAUGAUCCACAAACCUUUUGGGAGAAUGUUCUGUGGACUGAUGAGUUGAAAAUUGAACUGUUUGGAAACAAUCAGAUUUUAAUUUAAGGGGGAAUUAGUUUUCAUAUUGAUGAUAGGUGUUGGAUAACUUUUUUGCUUCAAUAAAAAAAAAAAAAAAAAAAAAAAAACCUGUAUUGUAUGUUUACUCAGGUUGUCUUUCUUUUAUGUUGUAUUUCGUUUGCAGAUCUACAACUAUUUAGUAUGAGAUUUACACAAAAACAGAAGAAAUCAGGAUGGGGCAAAUACUGUUUCACAGCACUGUAGGUAAU
Ictalurus punctatus (channel catfish) is the source of this 1978-nucleotide long non-coding RNA. The record is from Ensembl. NCBI's taxonomy places the organism in Eukaryota, Metazoa, Chordata, Actinopteri, Siluriformes, Ictaluridae.